ACAAUUAGUGAGGAGCACAAAUAUGUAUGUUGUGUGUGACGACAAAAUGCUUUUCUUAUUGUUAUUACUUAUUUAAAGUCAUUGAUAGCUUCAUGGAUCUUUGUAUCACAUGAUGUGAACUCCUUACAAAUACUUGCGUUUAUAGAGCCAAGACCCUAGGAAUGAGCUGAUUCUAACACCCAUGCAAAGUAAAAAAUUAUAAAUGUUAAUAUGCCGCAACUACUAAGAGGCAUACAAGGCGAUACUAGAGCUGAGUUUCGGCCAAGGGGCACACUAAAGCAAAAGUGUGUACAUAUACCAUGAGGAGCGUUGGGCUCAUAAUCAGUUCUACUCAGAUUGUGGACUGACCGUAUAUGAAGAUAAUGAGGAUUGCUACCGGAGCAUAGCCACUUUUGGUGGUUAAUGAAUGGGCAUGGACGUGAAGCUGCUUUCAAUCAAUAGAGAACAUAUGUUGCCCCAGACCAAGCUCCACACAUUACCACCUCUGAGUUUGUACAUAAUGAGAUCAUUCGGUAGUAAUUUGUGCUGUAGAUAUGAGUUUUGAGAAGAGAAAAAAGACAUGUAAAAUCGUACCAUAUAAUAAUUAUGUUGUUUCUUUCAAAAUACUUGACAUGGAUACUUGCACCUCCUGAGUUUGUACAUAAUGUUGUUGCCUAUAGGACAAUGUUAUUGUAACUUCGCUAAAAUUCGGUACAAUGUACAUGUGAAUUCCACAACUUGGCUUCUGUAAUAUACUUAUGAUGUUUAUAGUACUCUCUUGCUUUUGCUUCUGCGCUGGGGUGCACUGUGUCGUAUGACAAUGUUAUUGAACAUUAGCAAUUUUUUCAUACAAGUUUUGCCAUUAUUGCCAUUGUUGUAUUGUAACUGUAGUAGUAUAGUGGUUCUCAAUUUUCUGUUACGUUGGAAACCUAAAUUAUUUACCCAUAGACAUUUGUCAUUUGCUUCUUAGUGAUGAUCCUGGUGUAUUUUUAUUGAAAAAAUAACACUGUAUGUACUUUUGAAGAAAAAUAGCACUACUUAACUGAUUAAAAC
Lolium perenne is the source of this 1032-nucleotide non-coding RNA. NCBI's taxonomy places the organism in Eukaryota, Viridiplantae, Streptophyta, Magnoliopsida, Poales, Poaceae. The record is from RefSeq and is a predicted model, not a curated record.